Molecule: ribosomal RNA, 492 nt
Filed under: uncultured bacterium
Lineage: Bacteria
Description: partial 16S ribosomal RNA
Rfam family: Bacterial small subunit ribosomal RNA
Source: RNAcentral
AGUGAACGCUGGCGGUAGGCCUAACACAUGCAAGUCGAACGGCAGCACAGUAAGAGCUUGCUCUUACGGGUGGCGAGUGGCGGACGGGUGAGGAAUACAUCGGAAUCUACUUUUUCGUGGGGGAUAACGUAGGGAAACUUACGCUAAUACCGCAUACGACCUACGGGUGAAAGCAGGGGAUCUUCGGACCUUGCGCGAUUGAAUGAGCCGAUGUCGGAUUAGCUGGUUGGCGGGGGAAAGGCCCACCAAGGCGACGAUCCGUAGCUGGUCUGAGAGGAUGAUCAGCCACACUGGAACUGAGACACGGUCCAGACUCCUACGGGAGGCAGCAGUGGGGAAUAUUGGACAAUGGGCGCAAGCCUGAUCCAGCCAUACCGCGUGGGUGAAGAAGGCCUUCGGGUUGUAAAGCCCUUUUGUUGGGAAAGAAAAGCAGCAGGUUAAUACCCCGCUGUUCUGACGGUACCCAAAGAAUAAGCACCGGCUAACUUCGUG